GAUGAACGCUGGCGGCGUGCCUAAUACAUGCCAGUCGAGCGAACGGACGAGAAGCUUGCUUCUCUGAUGUUAGCGGCGGACGGGUGAGUAACACGUGGAUAACCUACCUAUAAGACUGGGAUAACUUCGGGAAACCGUAGCUAAUACCGGAUAAUAUUUUGAACCGCAUGGUUCAAAAGUAAAAGACGGUCUUGCUGUCACUUAUAGAUGGAUCCGCGCUGCAUUAGCUAGUUGGUAAGGUAACGGCUUACCAAGGCAACGAUGCAUAGCCGACCUGAGAGGGUGAUCGGCCACACUGGAACUGAGACACGGUCCAGACUCCUACGGGAGGCAGCAGUAGGGAAUCUUCCGCAAUGGGCGAAAGCCUGACGGAGCAACGCCGCGUGAGUGAUGAAGGUCUUCGGAUCGUAAAACUCUGUUAUUAGGGAAGAACAUAUGUGUAAGUAACUGUGCACAUCUUGACGGUACCUAAUCAGAAAGCCACGGCUAACUACGUG
RNAcentral lists this ribosomal RNA (497 nucleotides) under uncultured bacterium. RNAcentral describes it as "partial 16S ribosomal RNA". It matches the Rfam family "Bacterial small subunit ribosomal RNA", at positions 28 to 507 of the family's 1533-position model. The record is from RNAcentral.